This 468-nucleotide ribosomal RNA is filed under the name uncultured bacterium. RNAcentral describes it as "bacterial SSU rRNA". It matches the Rfam family "Bacterial small subunit ribosomal RNA", at positions 64 to 524 of the family's 1533-position model. The record is from RNAcentral.
GAGCGGUGACAGGUGUAGCAAUACGUGCUGACGAGCGGCGAACGGGUGAGUAAUGCUUCGGAAUCUGCCCAAUGGUGGGGGAUAACCAGCCGAAAGGUUGGCUAAUACCGCAUACGUCCUACGGGAGAAAGCGGGGGAUCGCAAGACCUCGCGCGGUUGGAUGGACCGAUGUUCGAUUAGCUAGUUGGUAGGGUAAUGGCCUACCAAGGCGACGAUCGAUAGCUGGUCUGAGAGGAUGAUCAGCCACACUGGGACUGAGACACGGCCCAGACUCCUACGGGAGGCAGCAGUGGGGAAUAUUGGACAAUGGGCGCAAGCCUGAUCCAGCAAUGCCGCGUGUGUGAAGAAGGCCUUCGGGUUGUAAAGCACUUUUAUCAGGAGCGAAAUACUACCGGCUAAUACCCGGUGGGGCUGACGGUAUCCUGAGGAAUAAGCACCGGCUAACUUCGUGCCAGCAGCCGCGGUAAU